Molecule: ribosomal RNA, 468 nt
Filed under: uncultured bacterium
Lineage: Bacteria
Description: partial 16S ribosomal RNA
Rfam family: Bacterial small subunit ribosomal RNA
Source: RNAcentral
GACGAACGCUGGCGGCGUGCUUAACACAUGCCAGUCGAACGGAAAGGCCCUGCUUUUGUGGGGUGCUCGAGUGGCGAACGGGUGAGUAACACGUGAGUAACCUGCCCUUGACUUUGGGAUAACUUCAGGAAACUGGGGCUAAUACCGGAUAGGAGCUCCUGCUGCAUGGUGGGGGUUGGAAAGUUUCGGCGGUUGGGGAUGGACUCGCGGCUUAUCAGCUUGUUGGUGGGGUAGUGGCUUACCAAGGCUUUGACGGGUAGCCGGCCUGAGAGGGUGACCGGCCACAUUGGGACUGAGAUAGGGCCCAGACUCCUACGGGAGGCAGCAGUGGGGAAUAUUGCACAAUGGGCGGAAGCCUGAUGCAGAAACGCCGCGUGCGGGAUGACGGCCUUCGGGUUGUAAACCGCUUUCGCCUGUGACGAAGCGUGAGUGACGGUAAUGGGUAAAGAAGCACCGGCUAACUACGUG